GACGAACGCUGGCGGCGUGCUUAACACAUGCAAGUCGAACGGAAAGGCCCUGCUUUUGUGGGGUGCUCGAGUGGCGAACGGGUGAGUAACACGUGAGUAACCUGCCCUUGACUUUGGGAUAACUUCAGGAAAUUGGGGCUAAUACCGGAUAGGAGCUCCUGCUGCAUGGUGGGGGUUGGAAAGUUUCGGCGGUUGGGGAUGGACUCGCGGCUUAUCAGCUUGUUGGUGGGGUAGUGGCUUACCAAGGCUUUGACGGGUAGCCGGCCUGAGAGGGCGACCGGCCACAUUGGGACUGAGAUACGGCCCAGACUCCUACGGGAGGCAGCAGUGGGGAAUAUUGCACAAUGGGCGGAAGCCUGAUGCAGCAACGCCGCGUGCGGGAUGACGGCCUUCGGGUUGUAAACCGCUUUCGCCUGUGACGAAGCGUGAGUGACGGUAAUGGGUAAAGAAGCACCGGCUAACUACGUG
RNAcentral lists this ribosomal RNA (468 nucleotides) under uncultured bacterium. Its description in RNAcentral is "partial 16S ribosomal RNA". It matches the Rfam family "Bacterial small subunit ribosomal RNA", at positions 28 to 507 of the family's 1533-position model. The record is from RNAcentral.